RNAcentral lists this ribosomal RNA (505 nucleotides) under uncultured bacterium. RNAcentral describes it as "partial 16S ribosomal RNA". It matches the Rfam family "Bacterial small subunit ribosomal RNA", at positions 28 to 507 of the family's 1533-position model. The record is from RNAcentral.
GACGAACGCUGGCGGCGUGCCUAAAACAUGCAAGUAGAACGCACAGUUUAUACCGUAGCUUGCUACACCAUAGACUGUGAGUUGCGAACGGGUGAGUAACGCGUAGGUAACCUGCCUGGUAGCGGGGGAUAACUAUUGGAAACGAUAGCUAAUACCGCAUAAUAUUAAUUAUUGCAUGAUAAUUAAUUGAAAGGUGCAAUUGCACCACUACCAGAUGGACCUGCGUUGUAUUAGCUAGUAGGUGAGGUAACGGCUCACCUAGGCGACGAUACAUAGCCGACCUGAGAGGGUGAUCGGCCACACUGGGACUGAGACACGGCCCAGACUCCUACGGGAGGCAGCAGUAGGGAAUCUUCGGCAAUGGACGAAAGUCUGACCGAGCAACGCCGCGUGAGUGAAGAAGGUUUUCGGAUCGUAAAGCUCUGUUGUAAGAGAAGAACGGGUGUGAGAGUGGAAAGUUCACACUGUGACGGUAUCUUACCAGAAAGGGACGGCUAACUACGUG